AGAUUGAACGCUGGCGGCAUGCCUAACACAUGCAAGUCGAACGGGAGUAGCAAUACUCUAGUGGCGGACGGGUGAGGAAUACGUAGGAAUUUGCCCUUAAGUGGGGGAUAACCCGGGGAAACCCGGAUUAAUACCGCAUGACCUCGAAAGAGCAAAGUGGGGGAUCGCAAGACCUCACGCUUUUGGAGAAGCCUACGUCGGAUUAGCUAGUUGGUGAGGUAAUGGCUCACCAAGGCGACGAUCCGUAACUGGUCUGAGAGGAUGAUCAGUCACACCGGAACUGAGACACGGUCCGGACUCCCGUACGGGAGGCCAGCAGUGGGAAUAGUGGACAAGUGGGCGACGAAGCCUGACUCCAGCAAUCGGCCGCGUGUGUAGGAAGGAACGGUCCGUUAGGUUAGUAAAGACGUAACGUUUAAGGUUA
RNAcentral lists this ribosomal RNA (424 nucleotides) under uncultured soil bacterium. Its description in RNAcentral is "bacterial SSU rRNA". It matches the Rfam family "Bacterial small subunit ribosomal RNA", at positions 26 to 477 of the family's 1533-position model. The record is from RNAcentral.